GGCCUAACACAUGCAAGUCGAGCGGGGGAUAUUGCUUCGGUGAUUGACCUAGCGGCGGACGGGUGAGUAAUACUUAGGAAUCUGCCUAUUAAUGGGGGACAACAUCUCGAAAGGGAUGCUAAUACCGCAUACGCCCUACGGGGGAAAGCAGGGGAUCACUUGUGACCUUGCGUUAAUAGAUGAGCCUAAGUCGGAUUAGCUAGUUGGUGGGGUAAAGGCCUACCAAGGCGACGAUCUGUAGCGGGUCUGAGAGGAUGAUCCGCCACACUGGGACUGAGACACGGCCCAGACUCCUACGGGAGGCAGCAGUGGGGAAUAUUGGACAAUGGGGGGAACCCUGAUCCAGCCAUGCCGCGUGUGUGAAGAAGGCCUUAUGGUUGUAAAGCACUUUAAGCGAGGAGGAGGCUCUCUUGGUUAAUACCCAAGAUGAGUGGACGUUACUCGCAGAAU
RNAcentral lists this ribosomal RNA (450 nucleotides) under uncultured Gammaproteobacteria bacterium. RNAcentral's name for it is "bacterial SSU rRNA". It matches the Rfam family "Bacterial small subunit ribosomal RNA", at positions 45 to 487 of the family's 1533-position model. Lineage: Bacteria; Pseudomonadati; Pseudomonadota; Gammaproteobacteria. The record is from RNAcentral.